AGACGAAGACAGCUGGCAAAUAUUUUUACAGUAUUUGCUAGUUGCUUUUGUCCCCU
This 56-nucleotide microRNA precursor is filed under the name Hydra vulgaris (swiftwater hydra). Its description in RNAcentral is "Hvu-Mir-2022_pre stem-loop". Lineage: Eukaryota; Metazoa; Cnidaria; Hydrozoa; Anthoathecata; Hydridae. The record is from RNAcentral.